UAUCGGAACGUGCCCUGGAGUGGGGGAUAACGCAGCGAAAGUUGCGCUAAUACCGCAUACGAUCUAAGGAUGAAAGUGGGGGAUUCGCAAGAACCUCAUGCUCCUGGAGCGGCCGAUAUCUGAUUAGCUAGUUGGUGGGGUAAAGGCCUACCAAGGCAUCGAUCAGUAGCUGGUCUGAGAGGACGACCAGCCACACUGGAACUGAGACACGGUCCAG
RNAcentral lists this ribosomal RNA (217 nucleotides) under uncultured bacterium. RNAcentral's name for it is "partial 16S ribosomal RNA". It matches the Rfam family "Bacterial small subunit ribosomal RNA", at positions 116 to 334 of the family's 1533-position model. The record is from RNAcentral.